UUAAGUGCUCCUCUGAAACCAAAAGCUGCCAACCUGUAAGGGGCCAUCUUGAGAUAAACCAUAUCUCCCACUUCAAAGGAUCUCUCCACUCUUUUCAUAUCAGCAUAUUUCUUCAUUCUGUUUUGAGCUUGCACCAGAUUGUUUUUUAGUUGAUCCAACAUGUGUUGUUUGGCUGUCAGAAAAUCAAGUGCCUCCCCAUCUUCAGGACCAGGAAUAGCCAGCUCACUAAUGAGAGGAUG
Molecule: long non-coding RNA, 239 nt
Filed under: Hordeum vulgare
Lineage: Eukaryota; Viridiplantae; Streptophyta; Magnoliopsida; Poales; Poaceae
Description: long non-coding RNA (HVUL_LNC018736)
Source: RNAcentral